UACGUAGGGUGCAAGCGUUGUCCGGAAUUAUUGGGCGUAAAGAGCUCGUAGGCGGUUUGUUGCGUCGGCCGUGAAAACCUGCAGCUUAACUGUGGGCCUGCGGCCGAUACGGGCAGACUUGAGUUCGGUAGGGGAGACUGGAAUUCCUGGUGUAGCGGUGAAAUGCGCAGAUAUCAGGAGGAACACCGGUGGCGAAGGCGGUUCUCUGGGCAGUAACUGACGCUGAGGAGCGAAAGUGUGGGGAGCGAACAGG
Molecule: ribosomal RNA, 253 nt
Filed under: uncultured bacterium
Lineage: Bacteria
Description: partial 16S ribosomal RNA
Rfam family: Bacterial small subunit ribosomal RNA
Source: RNAcentral